Molecule: non-coding RNA, 255 nt
Filed under: Streptomyces afghaniensis 772
Lineage: Bacteria; Bacillati; Actinomycetota; Actinomycetes; Kitasatosporales; Streptomycetaceae
Description: Streptomyces sRNA 4677
Rfam family: Streptomyces sRNA 4677
About the family: Located in the intergenic region between anti-sigma factor SCO4677 gene and a putative regulatory protein gene SCO4676. scr4677 expression requires the SCO4677 activity and scr4677 sRNA itself seem to affect the levels of the SCO4676-associated transcripts.
Source: Rfam by way of RNAcentral
CGCUCCGGUGCCGCAGGCGGUCUCCUUCAAGGACCACGAGGAGGAAAGAACCCCACCAAGCCCCACCCCUCCCGCCCAGGCCGCCGACUCACUCGCUCGCUCACUCACGCGAGUGAACAUCGCCAACUCAGCUGGAUUCGGGAGCCAUUGCCUGCCCUACGCUCAGCGCAACACAACCGCAGACAUGCGACGGCCCUCGCCGGGACUGGCAUCCCAGUGCGAGGGCCUGACCACCGAGGAAGAGAGAGCUUCCCG